UAGCAUAUGAUGAGAUUACUCGGAUUCUCCUUCAGGACAUCUUGGAUGAUGCAAAAACCGAGUUUCUGAUGCA
Molecule: small nucleolar RNA, 73 nt
Organism: Erigeron canadensis
Lineage: Eukaryota; Viridiplantae; Streptophyta; Magnoliopsida; Asterales; Asteraceae
Product: small nucleolar RNA snoR60
Exons: 1
Source: RefSeq, a predicted model, not a curated record